GGGAUUGUGGCUCAGUGGCAGAGCACUCGCCUCGAAUGUGUGAGGCGCUGGGUUCGAUCUUCAGCAGCACA
RNAcentral lists this transfer RNA (71 nucleotides) under Marmota monax (woodchuck). Its description in RNAcentral is "tRNA.Ser". Lineage: Eukaryota; Metazoa; Chordata; Mammalia; Rodentia; Sciuridae. The record is from RNAcentral.